GAUGAACGCUGGCGGCGUGCCUAAUACAUGCAAGUCGAACGAAACUUCUUUAUCACCGAGUGCUUGCACUCACCGAUAAAGAGUUGAGUGGCGAACGGGUGAGUAACACGUGGGCAACCUGCCCAAAAGAGGGGGAUAACACUUGGAAACAGGUGCUAAUACCGCAUAACCAUAGUUACCGCAUGGUAACUAUGUAAAAGGUGGCUAUACUACCGCUUUUGGAUGGGCCCGCGGCGGAUUAGCUAGUUGGGAGGGUAAAGGCUUACCAAGGCAAUGAUGCGUAGCCGAUUUGAGAGGUUGAUCGGCCACAUUGGGACUGAGACACGGCCCAAACUCCUACGGGAGGCAGCAGUAGGGAAUCUUCCACAAUGGGCGAAAGCCUGAUGGAGCAACGCCGCGUGGGUGAAGAAGGUCUUCGGAUCGUAAAACCCUGUUGUUAGAGAAGAAAGUGCGUGAGAGUAACUGUUCACGUUUCGACGGUAUCUAACCAGAAAGCCACGGCUAACUACGUG
Molecule: ribosomal RNA, 512 nt
Filed under: uncultured bacterium
Lineage: Bacteria
Description: partial 16S ribosomal RNA
Rfam family: Bacterial small subunit ribosomal RNA
Source: RNAcentral